RNAcentral lists this ribosomal RNA (336 nucleotides) under Triticum aestivum (bread wheat). RNAcentral describes it as "partial small subunit ribosomal RNA". The record is from RNAcentral. Lineage: Eukaryota; Viridiplantae; Streptophyta; Magnoliopsida; Poales; Poaceae.
AUGACGACACCAGCUGUUAAUUUUUUGUGCUGGAACGUGAGGGGGUUAAAUGACCCGGACAGGCGCGCGACUGUGCACGAGACGAUCGCCUCCACCUCGUGCCACAUAGUUUGCCUCCAGGAGUCCAAAAUGGAAGCUGUCGAUCAGUACGUCGCCUCCUAUCUUGGCGGCAAUAGGCUACGGAGCUUUGCUCAGCGUCCAGCCACUGGAACCAGAGGGGGCCUGCUCAUGCUUUGGGACGAUAGCGUCGUUCGUAUAUCCGACGUCUGCACCACAGAGUUCUGCCUUUCGGCAACGGUCAACGUCAUUCAUUCUGACACCCCUUUCAAGAUCACU